This 361-nucleotide long non-coding RNA is filed under the name Bos taurus (domestic cattle). Its description in RNAcentral is "long non-coding RNA NONBTAT001705". Lineage: Eukaryota; Metazoa; Chordata; Mammalia; Artiodactyla; Bovidae. The record is from RNAcentral.
UUUCACCAGAGGGACUAGGUUUAAGUUAAAAUCUUGGUGAAAAUAAAUGUUGGAUUUUUAGGUUUACAAGUAUCAGGAUAAAAACUAAAUUACUGGUAUCACUGUUUAGGUAUUGUAAUAUCUAAAUUUUUAUUUUUUAGUGGUGAAAAAAAGUACCCUUAAAUAAUGAUCCCAGGGAAAACCUAGUAUAUACAUGACAAAAUGAUUCAUUUAUUAUUCGCAUGCUUAGUUUAAACCUCAAUUUGCCAAAGUCAACUCUUUUUUUUUUAAUAGAAAUAAAAUCAGAGAACUGAUGGUGGGGAAAAAAUAAACCUGACAACAGGUGUCAUCCUUCCAUGAAUUUUUCCAGUUUGCACUGGUU